UGCGUAGGUGGGUUGGUAAGUCAGUGGUGAAAUCCCCGAGCUUAACUUGGGAACUGCCAUUGAUACUAUCAGUCUUGAAUAUUGUGGAGGUUAGCGGAAUAUGUCAUGUAGCGGUGAAAUGCUUAGAUAUGACAUAGAACACCAAUUGCGAAGGCAGCUGGCUACGCAUAUAUUGACACUGAGGCACGAAAGCGUGGGGAUCAAACAGGAUUAGAUACCCUGGUAGUCCACGCCCUAAACUAUGGAUACUCGACAUCAGCGAUACACUGUUGGUGUCUGAGCGAAAGCAUUAAGUAUCCCACCUGGGAAGUACGAUCGCAAGAUUGAA
RNAcentral lists this ribosomal RNA (328 nucleotides) under uncultured rhizosphere bacterium. RNAcentral describes it as "bacterial SSU rRNA". It matches the Rfam family "Bacterial small subunit ribosomal RNA", at positions 568 to 898 of the family's 1533-position model. The record is from RNAcentral.